AUACCUUUCUCGGCCUUUUGGCUAAGAUCAAGUGUAGUAUCUGUUCUUAUCAAUUUAAUUUCUGAUACGUAGGCUAUGUGCCUACUUUGAUAUUAAAUUUAUUUUUUGUGGGGGUGGGUCCGUCACAAUGGCUUGCCAUUGGGGCCCUUGUGUGUAGUCUAGGCGUUGCACUACAGCCUAGGCCUGGCACACCCCAA
Molecule: small nuclear RNA, 197 nt
Organism: Phragmites australis (common reed)
Lineage: Eukaryota; Viridiplantae; Streptophyta; Magnoliopsida; Poales; Poaceae
Product: U2 spliceosomal RNA
Exons: 1
Source: RefSeq, a predicted model, not a curated record